CCUACGGGAGGCAGCAGUAGGGAAUCUUCCGCAAUGGACGAAAGUCUGACGGAGCAACGCCGCGUGAGUGAUGAAGGUUUUCGGAUCGUAAAACUCUGUUGUCAGGGAAGAACAAGUGCGAGAGUAACUGCUCGCACCUUGACGGUACCUGACCAGAAAGCCACGGCUAACUACGUGCCAGCAGCCGCGGUAAUACGUAGGUGGCAAGCGUUGUCCGGAAUUAUUGGGCGUAAAGCGCUCGCAGGCGGUCUUUUAAGUCUGAUGUGAAAGCCCACGGCUUAACCGUGGAGGGUCAUUGGAAACUGGAGGACUUGAGUACAGAAGAGGAGAGUGGAAUUCCACGUGUAGCGGUGAAAUGCGUAGAGAUGUGGAGGAACACCAGUGGCGAAGGCGACUCUCUGGUCUGUAACUGACGCUGAGGAGCGAAAGCGUGGGGAGCGAACAGGAUUAGAUACCCUGGUAGUCCACGCCGUAAACGAUGAGUGCUAGGUGUUAGGGGGUUUCCGCCCCUUAGUGCUGAAGUUAACGCAUUAAGCACUCCGCCUGGGGAGUACGGCCGCGAGGCUGAAACUCAAAAGAAUUGACGGGGGCCCGCACAAGCGGUGGAGCAUGUGGUUUAAUUCGAAGCAACGCGAAGAAUCUUACCAGGUCUUGACAUCCUCUGACAAUCCUAGAGAUAGGACGUCCCCUUCGGGGACAGAGUGACAGGUGGUGCAUGGUUGUCGUCAGCUCGUGUCGUGAGAUGUUGGGUUAAGUCCCGCAACGAGCGCAACCCUUGAUCUUAGUUGCCAGCAUUCAGUUGGGCACUCUAAGGUGACUGCCGGUGACAAACCGGGAGGAUGGUGGGGAUGACGUCAAAUCAUCAUGCCCCUUAUUGACCUGGGGCUACACACGUUCUACAUGGAUGGACCAAAGGGAAGCGAAUCCGCGAGUCAAGCAAUCCCAUAAAACCAUUCUCAGUUCGGAUUGCAGGCUGCAACUCGCCUGCUUGAAGCCGGGAUCCGCUAGUAAUCGCCGGAUCAGC
This 1024-nucleotide ribosomal RNA is filed under the name uncultured bacterium. RNAcentral describes it as "bacterial SSU rRNA". It matches the Rfam family "Bacterial small subunit ribosomal RNA", at positions 338 to 1353 of the family's 1533-position model. The record is from RNAcentral.